Molecule: long non-coding RNA, 867 nt
Filed under: Medicago truncatula (barrel medic)
Lineage: Eukaryota; Viridiplantae; Streptophyta; Magnoliopsida; Fabales; Fabaceae
Description: long non-coding RNA (MTRU_LNC002033)
Source: RNAcentral
AACUUCUUCAUCAUAAAAGGAUAAAAAAAAAAAGUAUCAGAAAUCAACCAAUGACUGUUAACUUUUUUCUUGCUAAGCAUUAAUGUUGAGUUAUGAGAUAAAUAUACUUGAUAUCUUGAAUCUCUACUUCAGCACCCAAUCCAUGUGUAUUAUUUCGUUCAACGUGUUUUCUUGAUUCUGGUAGAAAGCAAUCAUAAAAACUUCACUCUUGUUAUCUUUCUGGCAGUAGAGAUUGACUACCCUUUCUGAUCGCAUAUCCUUGUAAAACUCCAUUAAGUUUCUUGACAUCUUUUAAGUUCAUCCAGUGGCGGAGCCAGAAAUAUUGUUGAGCCUGGGCAAAAUAUUUCCAGAAUAUAUAUUAAACAGUUUUAAAAUAAUAGCAAAAUUGUGAAUUGGUGUAGUGGUAUGUUUUGUUAAAACUAACAUGGAGAACCGCGGUUCAAAUCCCUACAGGACCUCUUUUUUUGAAUAAAAAUAUUUUUAAUAUUAUAGAAAAUAAAAAGGUAGUCUUACCAUGGAUCGAACCCACGCCGUAGCGGGGUCUGGUAGCACGCCUAACCACUGCAACACAAUGUAACAUAUGAUAUGUGACGGAUAAUAUGAUAAUUAUAGGUACGUUGAGGACUGCUGUGGCACCUAUAGGUCUCCUACGAGAUCCGGGACAGAGCCCGGGCGUGUGCCCAGGCUAGCUGGGUGGUAAAACCGCCCGAGUUCAUCCUUAUUCUUUUCUUUCCUCUUCUUUAAUCAUUUCAUAAUUCCGAAGUCAUUAUAUUGUGAUUUUAAGUUCCCAAGUCUUGUUUUCUGAAUGAAAUACAUGUUCUUUGCGCAACACCCCUCCCUCUCAUUUCUUUUGUAUCUGAACUGAUU